GUGCUGCUCAUUUUGACAGCAUAUAUACUAAAAUUGGAACAUUACAAAGAAGAUUAGCAAGACCCUUGAACAAGCUGUCAAUAACUUUUAAAACGACUUAAAACAUUUGU
This is a small nuclear RNA of Sceloporus undulatus (fence lizard), 110 nucleotides long. The record is from RefSeq and is a predicted model, not a curated record. Lineage: Eukaryota; Metazoa; Chordata; Lepidosauria; Squamata; Phrynosomatidae.